This 2940-nucleotide ribosomal RNA is filed under the name Triticum aestivum (bread wheat). RNAcentral's name for it is "partial small subunit ribosomal RNA". The record is from RNAcentral. Lineage: Eukaryota; Viridiplantae; Streptophyta; Magnoliopsida; Poales; Poaceae.
AUGGAGGCGGCAGACGACACCACUUCUCUGCAGGCCGCGAUUCGAUGGCUGCUUCACACCAUCCUUCCGAGCCUCCUCCGCAGCAAGCUCGACGGGUGGAUUCGCCAAGCUGGGCUCGGCAGCGAGAUAGAGGGGCUCAGAGACGAGAUCGAGCAAGCCGACGGGGUCGUCUCCGCCGUCAACGCCAGGUCUGAGAUCAGAAACAGGUCGCUGGCCAGAUCCCUCGCAGCCCUCAAGGAGCUGCUCUACGCCGCCGACGACGUGGUCGACGAGCUCGACUGCUACAGGCUCCACGCCCACGGAGACCCAUGGCAUUGGCACCAUCCCAACCAAAGUAACCAGCUGCCAAGUUCUUCAAGAAAUGCAACUGCUGAUAGUUCAUCCACAAGAAAAAGGAGAAGGGGAGAGGUUUCAACAUAUGUCCCCACAGCCAACACAGGCCCUUGGAACAAGGACCAAAUUUCGAAAAAGAUACAGGACAUAACGAGUCAGUUGCGAGAAAUCCGAGGGAACGUGCGACGGGUUCUCAAGAUGCUUGGGCCAGGGUCUCGUGCAGGUCCAAAUCGCUGCCAGAGUACAACCACCUCAAACCCACGCCGGGGCACAUCAAGUCUUGUUCAAGGGAAAGUGUAUGGGAGAUCUCAAGAAAAGAGUCACAUCUUAGAGUUGAUAAAAGAACGCAAAUCAGAUGCUGAGGUGACUGUUCUGCCAAUUGUAGGUGUUGCAGGAGUUGGGAAGACGACUCUGGCUCAACUUGUAUACAAUGAUUCAGAUUUGGAGAGUCAAUUUGACCUCCGGAUAUGGAUCUGGGUCUCUAGCAGCUUUGAUGAAACCAGAGUCACAAGAGAGAUGUUAGAUUUUGUCUCCCUGGGAGCACAUAAAGGGAAAUGCAGGUUUCCCAAGCUUCCGGAAGUCUUGGAGGAUCAUGUUAAAUCAAAGAGGGUUCUCCUUAUUUUGGAUGAUAUUUGGGAUGACAUCCGUGAUUGCCAAUGGAACAAUCUAUUAGCACCUUUCAAGCCUAACAAUGCAAAGGGCAGCAUGGUACUUGUGACAACUAGAAUACCGUCUGUUGCCAAAAAGAGAGGUACAACUGGACCGAUUAAAUUAGAUGGUUUGAAAAAUGGUGAUUUCUGGCAAAUGUUCAAAGCGUGUGCAUUUGGUGAUGAGAACUAUGAAGAGCAAGUUAGCCUGGGCGAGCUUGGACGGCAGAUAGCAAAAAGGUUACAGGGAAACCCAUUAGCUGCAGAAACUGCAGGGACACUGUUAAGAGAGCAUCUUACCAUUGAUCAUUGGAACAAUAUUCUAAAGAACGAAGAUUGGAAAUCUCUACAACUCAGUAAUGGCAUCAUGUCUGCUUUGAAGCUUUGCUAUGAUCAGCUGCCCUACAAUUUACAGCAAUGCUUCUCUUAUUGCUCCAUAUUCCCCUACAGUUAUCAUUUUCUUGCUGAGGAGCUGGUACGUAUGUGGAUUUCACAGGGAUUUGUGAACUGUAACCAUUCAAGUAUGAUACAGGAAGAAGGGCGGCGCUAUCUGUGUGACUUGGUAAACCUGGGUUUCUUCGAGCAAGUUGAAAGAAAAGAACUCCCUUCUGGCCAUACUCAAACUUACUAUGCUAUGUCUAUUCUUAUGCAUGAUUUGGCUAGGGUAGUUUCAAAAACUGAGUGUGCAGCUAUGGAUGGUCUGCAGUACAAUGACAUGCUACCAACUAUACAUCAUUUAUCUAUAGUAAAGGAUGGUCAGACUGCGAAUAUACUUUGUGGUACUGAGAAGUUUGAAGAAAACAUACCGAGCAUAUUAUCAUCAGUGGCAAAACUGAGGACAUUUGUUUUGAUUGGGCACUAUGAAUCUUCCUUCUUCGAAGAAGUUUUCCGAAAGGCAUAUAAUUUGCGUGUCUUGCAAAUUUGUACGACAUCUGCUGAUUUUCAAUCAUUCCAGUAUAAUUUCCUGAAUUUUAUACAUCUUCGAUGUCUAAAACUUGAUGGCCAUGUUGAGCAGAGGGGCUCGCCUCAAGUUCACUUGUAUGACGACGAUUCUGCUGUUCAGGAGAGUGCUACUUUGCUUGCCUCACAGAAGGUCCAUCUAGAGAAUGGGGGAGAAAAGCAAGUGGUUCUAUCUCUGGAAAAGCUUCCAUUCCUUACAACAUUGAAGUUAACCAACAUGUGGGGAGUAAGAGAAGUAUUGGUUCCGUCAUUGGAGGAACUGGUUUUAGUUAACAUGCCCGAAUUGGAGAGAUGUUCCUGCACUUCUGUGGGGGGUCUGGUCUCUAGUUUAAGGGUACUGGAGAUCCGGGAGUGCGAAGCACUUAAGGUGUUUGAUCUGUUCGAGAAAGCUCAGAACUCGGAAACUUUGCUACAGCUGCAUUCCUGCACUUCUCUAGAAGAUUUGAGAAUUGAAGACUGCGGAUGGAUCAACACAAUAGAGGGCCUUCACCUUGAGAAACUCAGGCAGUUGAAUGUACGCAGAAACUCAAGACUGCGUGGUAUAUUAGGAAAGGGCUAUUACCUACAGCCUCCACUGGAUUCACUUAUAAUUAAUGAGUUAUCUGUCCUUACCACGUCAAUCUGCAAGGGGCUCACCUGUCUCCAGAGCCUAAUAAUUCAAAAUUUGAAGUGCGAGGCUAGGAGACUAACAGAUGAUCAAGAGAGCGCGCUUCUGCUCCACAAGUCCCUGCAAGAGCUAGUGUUUAAUGAUUGUGGGUACCUCGUGCAUCUUCCUGCAGGACUGCAUGGUCUUCCUGCCCUCAAGAAAUUGAAGAUCAUAAGCUGUAGCAGCAUAUUAAGGCUUCUGAAGGAGGAACUCCCACCUUCGCUGGUGGAACUGGAAAUCGAUUUUUGCAGCGUUGAGUUGGCAAAACAAUGCAGAUUGCUAGCAACAAGCAAGCUAAAUGUCAUAAUUUAUGAGGACUAUGACCAAGAAGAAACCGAUACUUCCAGCAACUAG